ACGAACGCUGGCGGCGUGCUUACACAUGCAAGUCGAACGGAAAGGCCCUGCUUUUGUGGGGUGCUCGAGUGGGGAACGGGUGAGUAACACGUGAGUAACCUGCCCUUUACUUUUGGGUAACUUCAGGAAACUGGGGCUAAUACCGGAUAGGAGCUCCUGCUGCAUGGUGGGGGUUGGAAAGUUUCGGCGGUUGGGGGUGGACUCGCGGCUUAUCAGCUUGUUGGUGGGGUAGUGGCUUACCAAGGCUUUGACGGGUAGCCGGCCUGAGAGGGUGACCGGCCACAUUGGGACUGAGAUACGGCCCAGACUCCUACGGGAGGCAGCAGUGGGGAAUAUUGCACAAUGGGCGGAAGCCUGAUGCAGCAACGCCGCGUGCGGGAUGACGGCCUUCGGGUUGUAAACCGCUUUCGCCUGUGACGAAGCGUGAGUGACGGUAAUGGGUAAAGAAGCACCGGCUAACUACGUG
RNAcentral lists this ribosomal RNA (466 nucleotides) under uncultured bacterium. Its description in RNAcentral is "partial 16S ribosomal RNA". It matches the Rfam family "Bacterial small subunit ribosomal RNA", at positions 29 to 507 of the family's 1533-position model. The record is from RNAcentral.